RNAcentral lists this ribosomal RNA (303 nucleotides) under uncultured bacterium. RNAcentral's name for it is "partial 16S ribosomal RNA". It matches the Rfam family "Bacterial small subunit ribosomal RNA", at positions 507 to 809 of the family's 1533-position model. The record is from RNAcentral.
AGCAGUCGCCGCGGUAAUACGAAGGGGGCUAGCGUUGUUCGGAAUUACUGGGCGUAAAGCGCACGUAGGCGGAUAUUUAAGUCAGGGGUGAAAUCCCGCAGCUCAACUGCGGAACUGCCUUUGAUACUGGGUAUCUUGAGUAUGGAAGAGGUUAGUGGAAUUGCGAGUGUAGAGGUGAAAUUCGUAGAUAUUCGGAAGAACACCAGUGGCGAAGGCGGCUCACUGGACGACUGUUGACGCUGAGGUACGAAAGCGUGGGGAGCAAACAGGAUUAGAGACCCGAGUAGUCCCUGUCUCUUAUCC